RNAcentral lists this ribosomal RNA (31 nucleotides) under Schizophyllum commune. RNAcentral's name for it is "partial 18S ribosomal RNA". RNAcentral also lists the same sequence under 4 other names. The record is from RNAcentral. Lineage: Eukaryota; Fungi; Basidiomycota; Agaricomycetes; Agaricales; Schizophyllaceae.
UUCCGUAGGGUGACCUGCGGAAGGAUCAUUA